CCUACGGGAGGCAGCAGUGGGGAAUAUUGGGCAAUGGGCGCAAGCCUGACCCAGCAACGCCGCGUGAGGGAAGAAGGCUUUCGGGUUGUAAACUUCUUUUCUGAGGGACGAAGAAAGUGACGGUACCUCAGGAAUAAGCCACGGCUAACUUCGUGCCAGCAGCCUCGGUAAUAAGUAGGGGGCAAGCCUUGUCCGGAGUUAAUGGGUGUAAAGGGCGUGUAGGCGGGGAAGCAAGUCAGAUGUGAAAAAUCAGGGAUCAACCCUGAGCCUGCAUUGGAAACUGUGUUACUUGAGUGCUGGAGGGGCAAGCGGAAUUCCGGGUGUAGCGGUGAAAUGCGUAGAUAUACGGAGGAACACCAGUGGCGAAGGCGGAUUGCUGGACAGUAACUGACGCUGAGGCGCGAAAGCGUGGGGAGCAAACAGGAUUAGAUACCCGGGUAGUC
This 443-nucleotide ribosomal RNA is filed under the name uncultured bacterium. RNAcentral's name for it is "partial 16S ribosomal RNA". It matches the Rfam family "Bacterial small subunit ribosomal RNA", at positions 338 to 795 of the family's 1533-position model. The record is from RNAcentral.